This is a non-coding RNA of Manis javanica (Malayan pangolin), 2874 nucleotides long. Lineage: Eukaryota; Metazoa; Chordata; Mammalia; Pholidota; Manidae. The record is from RefSeq and is a predicted model, not a curated record.
GCUGCGCGCGCGGGCGGGAGCCGAGCCUCCGGGAGCGGCGGCCCGAGAGCCGGAGCCCGGCGGGAGGGGGGGAGGGCUGCGCAGGGCCGCGGUGCGCCCGCGCGUCCCGAGAGCGGCCCUCCCUGCGGCGGGAGGUGUGCGCGCCCUCCGUCUCCCGACCGACGCGCGGACUGUCGCAGCCGAAGAGCUGUCAUUUCAGCCCCGGGAUUCCGACGAGUGGACCCGGUCCCCCGCGGAGGGGCACCUCUCAUCCCCGAGCUGCUGCGUGUCUCCGACUUGGCAGCAAUACUAGUUUUUCUCCGGGAGGCUGCAAUUAACAUCUUAUUUGUUCCGGCCAGAUACAGGCUUUGUCAGGACCGCGGUGCGGCGACCGAGUUGGCUGACAAGUAUUUGAUGAACUAGUUUCAGACACAUGCUGCGAAAGGUCAUUCGCCUACUGACUAUGUCCCUACUUGUAAACGCAGUUGGAGGUUUGCAAAACAGGUGUAAAAUAUUGCGAUGAUGUGGUGGGAGGAGACCGAAAUAGGUGAUUCAUAUAAAGUGUCGGACUCUUCCUAAGGGCUACUGACCUGGCCUGAAGAUGAUCCUGCUGGGGUAUAUUUAUAGAAGGUGAUUGUGGAUGAUAAAUAUGCCAAGCAAGACACCAUCUCCAGUAACCCCAGGCUCGUCUGACUUCCUCAGGGGGUCAUAAUCAAGAACCACAAGAAGAACUAUAUAUGGAGAAUCUGGUCUGUGGACCCUGACUACAGCACAAUCCAAAGGCCAAGGAAGGAAGAACCACAGCGAUUCAUGUCUGCACCGUGAUUCGCAUGAAAGCACUGCUGGCACAUUGACCCACCAACAGAAAGAGCAGCAGUUACACCCUGCAGGCAAUCUGUGUCCUCUCCUCCCUAUUGAGAUCGGUCUGUCUUCAUGUUUUAAUACACUGUAAAAUCACCAUUUCAAAUGACAAUGAUCAGCUUUCAUUGGCCUCUUUCGCAAGUCUGUGUGUAUGUCUAUGUAUGUAUACAAAUGCAUAUAUAUAUAUAUAUAUAUACACACACACUUAUUUUACAUAUACACACAUUAUAUAUAUGAUACCUACACCUAUAUAUAUAAAUAAAAGUACAUAUACAUAUAUUUAAAUUGCUACAUGUGUUUGGGAGGACGGUUUCACUAUGUUGCUUAAUAUUUCUCUUAAUAAAAUGAAGUAUUCUCAUGCCAGCAUUGCCCAAUUAAUUGUAUAAGCUAAUUUUCAUCCAUGUUCCUUGCCAACUUUUGAAAGGACUAUUGAGUGUUAACACAUCAAAUACAGACUUGUAUUUUCAACUGGCCCCGUAGUAUGUGAAGUGAAAGUCUUUCAAAUCUCUCUCCUAUUAUGUAUACAUUUUUAUUAAGAUUACUUUAGAGAAAUGAGGUUUCUAAGUGUAAUUUAUCUCUGUUAGGUUGCCUUUUUUUCUUGCUAAGUUUAGUCCUUCUACAUUUGAAAAUGACCCCAUCCUUCAAAAUCGUUGUAUAAAAUUCACCUAUCACCUGCAUAAUUCUCAGACAAAUCAUUAGAAUAUGUUCACUCAGUUUUAGAAAGUGUUUUAUCUCCCGUCACCCUUUCUCUCAUAGUAUUUUUAGUAUUACUCUGUUACCACAUUCUAAACUUUAUAAUUUUCCUACAGUAAGGCUUUAAGAAGCACAAAUAAAUUUGUAGAUUCUUCCUUCUUCAAUAUGCUCUAAUUUUUCAAUAUUUAAUGUCUCCAAUAUACACACGCAAAAAGGCUUUGGAAACCACUAAUUCCACAAUUAAAGGAAAUUAAUAACUUCAAUAAGAACCUGAACUAGCCUAUUAUUUGCUAUAAUCAACUGAUGUUUUAAUAUGUUCUGUUAAUAAAAUGGUCAAAAUAUCACGUGAUUAAAUUGUUAUGAGUACAUACCUUAUGUUUAAAAUUAGCAUAUUUACAGUGAAUUGAAAUAAUUUCUUUUUCUCCCUUUCCUCCCUCUGCUCUUCUGCCUCCUCCCCUUUCUCUUCAUUCUCCUCCUCCUCUCUUUCUUCCUCCCUAUUAUUAUUAAAUAAUGAAGUCUCUGGGGAACUCAGUUGAUUUUCUUGGAUCUCUGUCAAAAAACAAUUUGACUAUUUUUUACUUGGACAUCCUGAAUAGAAAGUACAUGGAAAAAGUAGUAAAAAGUAAAGGGAUAGAGCAGAGGACAGGGAUAUGUGAUACGAUGGUUCUCCUGGGUUAGUCUAAACUUGCCCCAUUCCAGGCAUAGCCAGCGUUAUUUUUAGUCCAAAGAGCCUAUAAAGUUAGUAUAUUUAGCCAUUAUCUUUAAUUUCUAGAAUUUCAAAUGAACUAGAAAUCAAGAUUCUUCAUUUUUACCCCUGAACUUGACACUAAUUAUAUACCUGACAUGGACAAACAGCUGUAGACUGUCCAGAUUUCAGCCUCCUUGCAGGAAGGGCCUGACUAAAUACUUUUUAAGGUUCUUCCGAUGUCUUCUAAAUAAAAGGAAGCAUCUCGUAGAAAAUAGAAGCAAUGAGAGAAAAAGGCAACAAAACCCUAGACUAGGAAGAAUCCCAAUUAGUCCGCGGUAACCUCUGCUCUGUCAUGAUUUUUAAAACCUCUGUAGUUUUACCACCUUUGCUUUAUAGUUUUCCUUCCUUGCUGUCAGUCAGUCCUUUACAUCCUUAUUCUUUUCUCAUUGUGACCAAUUUUUUUUCUUACACUGAGUUCCCACGCUACCAAUAAUUCUAACAAGAACUAAACCUGCAAGGACAACCUUAUCUAUUGAGCUUAAUCAGCACGAGAGUGUGAGGUCCACUGAUCACUCAUUAUUUCUGAACCCUUCUGUCUCUCCAGCCUUGUUCCUUGACAGUCCGGAUCCACUAAUCCCUACUAUCCCUCUUUU